GGUGUCGUGGUGUAGUUGGUUAUCACGUGAGUCUUACACACUCAAGGUCUCCGGUUCGAGCCCGGGCGACAUCA
Molecule: transfer RNA, 74 nt
Filed under: Blastomyces dermatitidis
Lineage: Eukaryota; Fungi; Ascomycota; Eurotiomycetes; Onygenales; Ajellomycetaceae
Also listed under: 8 other names
Description: tRNA-Val
Rfam family: tRNA
About the family: Transfer RNA (tRNA) molecules are approximately 80 nucleotides in length. Their secondary structure includes four short double-helical elements and three loops (D, anti-codon, and T loops).
Source: RNAcentral